GACUCAUGGCAGACAUGAGGAUUUCCUUGUCUUCUAACAAGGAAGGGACCACUGCUCAGAUUUGCACACUGACGACAUGUGGGACAACGUGGGAGGAAGAAAGCCGUGUGAAGUUGGGUUUAAAUGUGUGUCAGGUCCCUGGAGGCAAAAGAUAGCAAAGCAAAUUCGUUAACUUAAGGAGAGUUUGAUUAAAGAUCUAAUUACAAACUACUUACCAUCUCGCUGCUGGGUUCUUCUCUCAACCCAGAAAGAACCACAAGCUUGUCCUAAGAGGAAAACCAUGGAUUUGGAAAGACAGCACUACCCAGUUUCAGAACAUUCCAGAAAUGACACAAGCAUCUUAUUUUUAAAUAUUGGGUGGGAUGAAGGAAGAGAAGGAAGAUUGGACCACCAGUCAUUUAGUACUACAGAAUCAAUUGCUGCAUCAUUGUGGCAGACACCCAACGAGUCAUCAAAUAGUCAGAGAACACAGUCACACAAAAGACCCUCUCCCCGAACCUGUUGGAUAUUGUCCCUCAGCCACCCCAGCAGGGCCCACGUGGAGAAGUGAUUGUCUCAAAAACACUGAGAGAUGUGAUUUUCACCAGCGUGAGUGGAUACUCAUGAAAUCCACUGAAGACACAUAGUUUUUAAGAAAUCCUCCUACUACACUGAAUGGGGAAAACUACAAAAUGAAAGAAUAUCAGAGCCCCAAAUUCCACUGGCAAGAAGCAGACUGAUAAAACCACCGAGCUGCAACCACGUGCCACUUUCCAUGAGGAAAGGAUGACUCAGAGGGCAGACGUGAGGAUCCGGAGUGGAGCCAAAGUUACAGAGGCCUGAGGACUACAUGAUGGAUUACAUUACUUUGACAUAUUGUUGUCUAACCUAUGGCAGAGUUGCAAAGCUGACAGGGGAAUGCUGGGGGCCUUUCCUGCUCAGACCCAUAAACCCCAGAGUGGAUCAUUCCCAGUCCUUGGAACCAUAGGACGCAGGCUCACCAAGCCUAACUGCAGCCUGUGGGGCCCCAAGCUGAGGCAGGACCCAGGGAUACUGAGAGUGGACAAGAACCAUGGGAAAAUUAAUCUGUGUUACUUUAACUGCUGUUCAUGG
Molecule: long non-coding RNA, 1092 nt
Filed under: Chinchilla lanigera (long-tailed chinchilla)
Lineage: Eukaryota; Metazoa; Chordata; Mammalia; Rodentia; Chinchillidae
Description: lncRNA (ENSCLAG00000028714.1)
Source: RNAcentral